Gasterosteus aculeatus aculeatus (three-spined stickleback) is the source of this 3940-nucleotide RNA transcript. It is a transcript of the gene named junctional cadherin complex regulator, with no coding region annotated. Lineage: Eukaryota; Metazoa; Chordata; Actinopteri; Perciformes; Gasterosteidae. The record is from RefSeq and is a predicted model, not a curated record.
CGCUUCGGCGAGUUUGAAUGUGGGCUUCCUUAGUUUAGCUCAGCUGUCUCGGAUUAGCUGAUUGUUAGCAGGCUGAAGCCGCGGUGCUUCAGCUGUGUAACACACUGUCGGCCAGCAGAGAUCCAUGCGCACCUUUCUGCUGCAAUUCCUCGGCUGGAUGAGACGGUCCGUUACAGGCGUCUCCAAACACGUCUAACAUAAUAAACUCAUUGCAGUUUCUGAAGCCUCACGCAUUGACCGUGUGAGACACGCAUUUCAACCAUAUCUCGCACGCCACAUCGUGAGAAGACUAGGAGGCGGAGGCUUUUGAUAGAACUGCUCGGUGCAAGUUAAAGAUGUAGCAGCACAGAGCAGGUGGAGGAAAACCCGCAGGACUCAAGAGACACAAAUGAAACCAAAAAAUAAAGUGGAGACAAAGAGAAAGAAAAGACUGUUCAAUGAAAAGUGGGGGUCCAGUUGAGUGGCUGGUUUAUGAUGCAGCCAAGAAAAUCAUGUAUUGCACUGAUGUUAAGGGGUCUCUUGUUGGGACAAGCAAUUUCACAGUGGAAACAAAGGACCAUGAAUUUUCCGUUGGCCAUGUCAAAAGCAUUGCGAGUAAACAGACAAAGACAACAAAGUGUUGAGUUUAUGUCCCUGGUCCUCAUGAAGUUGGCGGAGCUUUACACCCUUGUCAUUUGUUAAAUUGACUUGCAAAUAAAUGCUUUGUUAUUGGUUUCAGCUGAGCUUUUCCAAGGAGCACUUGAAAGCAGCAUGUGCGCGUUGGCGUUUCUAUGGUUGCGUUGCUAUGGAGUACUGCCACAACAGUAUUUGUAAGUUGCCCUCCAGCUGCAAGCGUCUCUGGUCGAAUUUGACCAACAACACAGAUGAUGAAAUCUUCAUGAAACAGACACAGACAUGUUGAAGAAUGAGCAAGUGAAGCGGCAGUCUCUGAAACAAGCGGUUCUGGCCAACCAGUGGGGAUCUGUGGUGUCCAACACAGGGAGCUUGGCUCACGAGAGAACUUCCCGGCAACAACUUGAAAUGUGUAUCGGCCACCAUGACCAAAACAAAUACACACUACGUUGUAAGCAGAAGGCUGACUGCCUACAGCAGAGAGAUGAAGAUGGAUUCAGUGAUGAUGAAACAGAGGAUUGUCAGCUUUAUGAUAGCCUUGAUGCAGCAUCACACAACCAUGCCAAAUGUACCCCCACCCCGUUACAGACUGAAUAUGCAGACACAAGCCAGCUGCUCACUGACGAUGCCUACUAUGACCUACGCUAUGACCCCAACUGGAGGACCAACCUGAGGGGAGCUGGCCGCUUCAACAAGAGUCCACACAUUUCUGUUGAGGAAUAUUACCAGUUCCCGAAAGAGAAAGCUGCUCAUCCACCUGUUGAGAGCAGAGAGCCUGUUACAAAAGGAGGAUACAAAUACAUUGUUGCCACCAGUCCAGCUGUUCUGGUAACUCCGGAUAUGGCUGGCAAUGAGCCUGACCAGCCGUACCGCCUCCACCCACAAGAUGUUGAGACUAGCACACCAACAUCUCCCCACUUUCAUCACCAUGCGUUACAAUUCCGAUCAGCAGUGGUUGACCUUUCAAAGCCACCCUGCAAUAAUCCUAAAGAGGAAAGGGACAAAAGUUUACUGACAGGUGAUAAAUGUAAGACCUUCUUCCAGCAAGAACCGAGAUGUCCACAAGGCAGACUCACUGCAACAGAGCAAAUGACCGCAUUUCCCAAGGAUUUGUUUAACAAAAAGCCGGAAAGACUGUCAGGGGAGAUUGUGGAACGCAACAAAACAACCCUGGGACACAACACAUCCAAACGUGGCUCGUAUGCGAGUGUGCAUGUACGUAAGCAGGAUGUCAAUAAGUCCCCAGGUACCCGGAUCAGGGAAAGGAAGAAAGCCCAGCAGAAAGAACACCCCAAACCUCUUCUACCGCAGCAGCAGCCCCCAGCUGAGUGGGGAGACUGUCAGAGCUCCACAUUGGCAGGAGCAUCCGCUGUAACUAAGCCAAACCCUCAGAAGGCGAUUUCAUUGCAACCUUUGCUCCCCACCAUCCACCUCAACGUCAGCCUUAACACUGCUUCCUAUUUCCUUCCGUCAAUCGGAGACCCGGAUGGCCUUAUAGAUUUAGCAUCUCUUCACAGUUGUCCACAUUGGAGCCCUGCAUCUGAAGAUGAAAUUGCUUCGUCCCCUGGAUGUCAACAAAUAAAUCCAGGAAUAUCCUCCUGGAUGUCUUGGAGACGGGUAAAUCUGCCCCACCGAGACCAGGACAGUUGCUCCGAACAGCGGCAAAGGGGAGCUGCAUUGCAGUGGCCAAUAACCUGUGAAGGGGAGGACCAGAAGGAAAUUGCACAAAACCUCACUUUGUCACUGGGCUCCAGCUCUUACCCACUUCUGCCAGCUAUAGGAAAGUCAAUGACAGGAAAAGAGCCCGAGCAGAGCCCUGAUGUGAACUCAGCCUAUCCCGUCCAUAGAAGCAGCUCGAAGGGCUACCUGGUUAAGAUGGAGAAACAGAAACAACUAAGGACAAGAGUCCCAUACAAGGCAUACAGUCUGAAAGACUACAAGCAGCUGAAGUCAGAUAUAGUUCUGCAAGGCCUUGGUCCUGACUACACAGCUAUAGAAGAGACAGCUUCCAUGCUGUUCGACGGAUAAAAUUACACCUCCAAAGCAAAUAAGGGUACCUCUAAGAUGUUAAGUGCUUUAUGCUAGGAUGCUUUUUUAAAUCCCCAGCAGUGAAAAGUGAGCAUGUUUGGCCAAUUUACACCAGAUUGAGCUCUGGGCAUCUCCAGGUCCAAAUUGUGAAUGAUAUGUGUAAAUGUUGCCCCCCUGAAUGGCUGGCUGUGUUUGGUUUUGUUGGGCUGCGUGGAGAGGCUCUGCCGGGGGGAGCACGAAGAGAAAGGCCUUAAGAGAGAAAUGGCUCAGUUAAUUAAAACCCCUUUUAUAAUCUGCUUCUAUUUCUCUCUCACUCCCUCUCUCGCUCUUUCACCGUCAUCAUGCUGAGAAACUGAAGCGACAGAAGCUGUAUUCAAAUGUGAUCCGCGAGCAGAACAAAAAGAUAAGUAGGAUUCCCUUUCUGCUGGCCAAGGACCCGGAAGGCAAUGACAACAAAGUUCCCAGGCUGAAGGCCUUGGAAUAUGCUAAAACCAUAGCCAAACCCCCUCUACAGUUUCCACCACGGCAGAGACAGAAACCAGUCCAGUCCAAAGGCUUCCCUGAGCAUGCUUCUGACAUGGAUGUCCCUCAUAUGGCCGUACUAGAAGUCCUUAGAAAACGGCAUGAAGAAGAAAAGCAGGCCGUGUCACUCUUCAGAAAACAACAUGCUGUCUGAGGCAAGGUGAAUCGAUCCCAUUUAACCAUGCCACAGUGGUCUUUGGUUUGGUACUGCAGCAUACAAAAAUAGAUUUUACUCAUUAAAAAGUUUACUAAUGAAAUCCUACUAGUUUGAAAUAUAAAUCAGUUUUUUAUGCACUCACAUUAUAUGUAAGAUUGGAACUGGUGUCCAUUAAUAUAUAAAGGACUGCAGCAUUUCUGCCUUGGCUUUACUACUCAGUCGUAACUAUGGGUUCCUUCUUACAUCCGAAUCAAUGCAUUUACUCCAAUUCAUGUGUUUUAGCAAAAUCACUUUUCCUUCAGUUCAUUUGAAUGUGAGUAGAGGGUUUGGGAUUAAAAUAAAUAAAUAACUCAGUUGUGAAAAUUUGAACCAGCAUCCUCUCUGGAAAAAACGUGAGCCUGUAAACAUCACAUUCAGGAAGCAAAUCAAAGCAGUGAUCAAUGGGCCAAUAAAGUGAAAUAGGAUAAUAAAACGUGUGUCACUAACAUGGGCCAACUGUGCGAAAAAGCUCUUUGGAUGAAUUCUGUUGUCAUGCGUUGUCUAUUACAUCCAACUCGUUGCUCAUGAAUUCUUCCCCAGUGUACUAAAAUAAAUAAUGAAGCAUCUGGUUCUUAAUCCAUC